UUCCCUACGGGAGGCAGCAGUGAGGAAUAUUGGUCAAUGGGAGAGAUCCUGAACCAGCCAAGCCGCGUGAGGGAAGACGGCCCUAUGGGUUGUAAACCUCUUUUGUCGGAGAACAAAACCCGGGACGUGUCCCGGACUGCGUGUAUCCGAAGAAAAAGCAUCGGCUAACUCCGUGCCAGCAGCCGCGGUAAUACGGAGGAUGCGAGCGUUGUCCGGAUUUACUGGGUGUAAAGGGUGCGUAGGCGGGUAAGCAAGUCAGAAGUGAAAUCCAUGGGCUUAACCCAUGAACUGCUUUUGAAACUGUU
Molecule: ribosomal RNA, 305 nt
Filed under: uncultured bacterium
Lineage: Bacteria
Description: bacterial SSU rRNA
Rfam family: Bacterial small subunit ribosomal RNA
Source: RNAcentral